CAGGACGAACGCUGGCGGCACGCUUAACACAUGCAAAUCGAACGGAGUUAAAUUGGAGCUUGCUUGAUUAACUAGUGGCGGACGGGUGAGUAACACGUGAGCAACCUGCCUUGAGAGUGGAACAGCUUCUGGAAACGGAUGGUAAUACCGCAUGAAAUUAUCUGACCGCAUGAUCGGAUAAUCAAAGAUUUAUCGCUCAAAGAUGGGCUCGCGUCUGAUUAGAUAGUUGUGGGGUAACGGCCUACCAAGUCGACGAUCAGUAGCCGGACUGAGAGGUUGAACGGCCACAUUGGGACUGAGACACGGCCCAGACUCCUACGGGAGGCAGCAGUGGGGAAUAUUGCACAAUGGGCGGAAGCCUGAUGCCAGCGAUGCCGCGUGGAGGAAGAAGGUUUUCGGAUUGUAAACUCCUGAUCUGAGGGACGAUAAUGACGGUACCUCAGGAGAAAGCUCCGGCUAACUACGUGCCAGCCGCCGC
RNAcentral lists this ribosomal RNA (478 nucleotides) under uncultured bacterium. RNAcentral describes it as "bacterial SSU rRNA". It matches the Rfam family "Bacterial small subunit ribosomal RNA", at positions 25 to 518 of the family's 1533-position model. The record is from RNAcentral.